CAGCCGCCGCGGUAAUACGUAGGGGGCAAGCGUUGUUCGGAAUUACUGGGCGUAAAGGGCGUACAGGCGGCCAUAUAAGUCAAUUGUGAAAUUCUUGGGCUUAACCUGAGAACUGCACUUGAUACUGUGUGGCUUGAGAUCAGGAGAGGAGAGUGGAAUAUGUAGUGUAGCGGUGAAAUGCGUACAUAUUACAUAGAACACCGGUGGCGAAGGCGGCUCUCUGGCCUGAUUCUGACGCUGACGCGCGAAAGCUAGGGUAGCGAACGGGAUUAGAUACCCCGGUAGUCCUAGACGUAAACGAUGGGUACUAAGUGUAGCGCAACGGUCCAUAUGACCCCUCCUGUGCUGUAGCUAACGCAUUAAGUACCCCGCCUGGGGACUACGGGCGCAAGACUAAAACUCAAUGGAAUUGACAGGGGCCCGCACAAGCGGUGAAGCAUGUCGCUUAAUUCGAAGCAACGCGAAGAACCUUAUCCAGUGGCUUGACAUCCUUUGACACCCGUGGAAACACGGCUUUCCCUUAGGGGACAAAGUGACAGGUGCUGCAUGGCAGUCGUCAGCUCGUGUCGUGAGAUGUUGGGUUAAGUCCCGCAACGAGCGCAACCCCUGUCUUUAGUUGCCAGCGCGUAAUGGCGGGGACUCUAGAGAUACUGCCGGCGAUAAGCCGGAGGAAGGUGGGGAUGAUGUCAUGUCCUCAUGGCCCUUAUGCCCUGGGCUGCACACGUGCUACAAUGGCCGGUACAACGGGUCGUGAAACCGUGAGGUGGAACCAAUCCCUAAAAACCGGUCCCAGUUGGGAUUGUAGUCUGCAACUCGACUACAUGAACCUGGAAUCGCUAGUAAUCGCGAAUCAGCAGGUCGCGGUGAAUACGUUCCCGGGCCUUGUACACACCGCCCGUCACACCACGAAAGUCGGUGGCAUUCGAAGCCGAUGAGCUAACCUUCGGGGAGCAGUCGUCGAAAAUGAAACCGAUGAUUGGCGUGAAGUCGUAACAAGGUAGCCGUA
RNAcentral lists this ribosomal RNA (1006 nucleotides) under uncultured bacterium. Its description in RNAcentral is "bacterial SSU rRNA". It matches the Rfam family "Bacterial small subunit ribosomal RNA", at positions 509 to 1504 of the family's 1533-position model. The record is from RNAcentral.